Molecule: long non-coding RNA, 670 nt
Organism: Helianthus annuus (common sunflower)
Lineage: Eukaryota; Viridiplantae; Streptophyta; Magnoliopsida; Asterales; Asteraceae
Exons: 5
Source: RefSeq, a predicted model, not a curated record
AACCGAUUUCAAUUUUCACCACCCAGAAGAGAUCUCCGGUGCGAUCCAACGACGAACACUCUCCGUACAAUCUCACCGGUGUAAACACAUUCUUUUCAUCAACAACUUCAGGCAUCUGUUGAGCUACCUUUAUUAUCUUACAAAAGUUAAAGAGGAGAGACUGAACGUAUUGGAAAAAGCGUGAGCAAAAUCUGUAGAGGAUUAAAGUGGGAGAGUGGGGAGCAGUUCAUAAAAGCAUUUUGUUUGAGGGGGGUUUUCAAAAAGAUGAUGAUGAAAGCCAUCUGAAAAUGGCAUGAGCACUAGGAGCUUAAUAACAAGCUACAGACAAGCAGAUGGUUGUUUUGGUGAAGAGCUGUUUAGGCUCUAGAAUUAAAAUAUAGCAAAUUCUUGGCAAUGGAAAGUACUCUUUGAUAAGUGAUCUGAAUGACAGAAUAUUACCAAAGCAGCACCACCUAAGGCUGGUGGGUAAUGAUUCAGAGGUAAAAAGCGUGAAGCGCGCAAAAGCAGGUUCUAUUGGGAGAAGGCUACUACGCUGAAAGAAUGUCCAAACAAACAGUUGAGAUUCUGAAAAGAAGAGGAAAGGUUUUAGAGUCACAGAUUGAAUCGCUUAACGCUGUAAUAAAGGAUCUCAAGUUUGAGGCCUUGUUCUUUGAUGAAACAGCUACCGAGG